AGCAGUAGCCGCGUAACACGGAGGGGGCUAGCGUUGUUCGGAAUUACUGGGCGUAAAGCGCACGUAGGCGGCUUGGUAAGUUAGAGGUGAAAGCCCGGAGCUCAACUCCGGAAUUGCCUUUAAGACUGCCGAGCUAGCAGGUGAGAGAGGUAAGUGGAAUUCCGAGUGUAGAGGUGAAAUUCGUAGAUAUUCGGAAGAACACCAGUGGCGAAGGCGGCUUACUGGCUCAUACUGGACGCUGAGGUGCGAAAGCGUGGGGAGCAAACAGGAUUAGAUACCCCAGUAGUCCCUGUCUCUUAUACA
RNAcentral lists this ribosomal RNA (303 nucleotides) under uncultured bacterium. RNAcentral describes it as "partial 16S ribosomal RNA". It matches the Rfam family "Bacterial small subunit ribosomal RNA", at positions 507 to 808 of the family's 1533-position model. The record is from RNAcentral.